Molecule: ribosomal RNA, 1022 nt
Filed under: uncultured bacterium
Lineage: Bacteria
Description: bacterial SSU rRNA
Rfam family: Bacterial small subunit ribosomal RNA
Source: RNAcentral
GAGUUUGAUCCUGGCUCAGGAUGAACGCUGGCGGCGUGCCUAACACAUGCAAGUCGAACGGGAAUCUUCGGAUUCUAGUGGCGGACGGGUGAGUAACGCGUAAGAAUCUAACUUCAGGACGGGGACAACAGUUGGAAACGACUGCUAAUACCCGAUGUGCCGCAAGGUGAAACCUAAUUGGCCUGGAGAAGAGCUUGCGUCUGAUUAGCUAGUUGGUGGGGUAAGGGCCUACCAAGGCGACGAUCAGUAGCUGGUCUGAGAGGAUGAGCAGCCACACUGGGACUGAGACACGGCCCAGACUCCUACGGGAGGCAGCAGUGGGGAAUUUUCCGCAAUGGGCGAAAGCCUGACGGAGCAACGCCGCGUGAGGGAGGAAGGUCUUUGGAUUGUAAACCUCUUUUCUCAAGGAAGAAGUUCUGACGGUACUUGAGGAAUCAGCCUCGGCUAACUCCGUGCCAGCAGCCGCGGUAAUACGGGGGAGGCAAGCGUUAUCCGGAAUUAUUGGGCGUAAAGCGUCCGCAGGUGGUCAGCCAAGUCUGCUGUCAAAUCAGGUUGCUUAACGACCUAAAGGCGGUGGAAACUGGCAGACUAGAGAGCAGUAGGGGUAGCAGGAAUUCCCAGUGUAGCGGUGAAAUGCGUAGAGAUUGGGAAGAACAUCGGUGGCGAAAGCGUGCUACUGGGCUGUAUCUGACACUCAGGGACGAAAGCUAGGGGAGCGAAAGGGAUUAGAUACCCCUGUAGUCCUAGCCGUAAACGAUGGAUACUAGGCGUGGCUUGUAUCGACCCGAGCCGUGCCGAAGCUAACGCGUUAAGUAUCCCCGCCUGGGGGAGUACGCACGCAAGUGUGAAACUCAAAAGGAAUUUGACGGGGGGCCCGCACAAAGCGGGGGGAGUAUGUGGUUUAAUUCGAUGCAACCGCGAAAGAAACCUUACCCAAGACUUGACAUGUCCCCGAACCCUGGUGAAAGCUGGGGGGUGCCUUCGGGGAAGCGCGAAACCACAGGGUGGGGCAUGGCUUGUCG